AGGGCACCACCAGGAGUGGAGCCUGCGGCUUAAUUUGACUCAACACGGGAAAACUCACCCGGCCCGGACACUGUAAGGAUUGACAGACUGAGAGCUCUUUCUUAAUUCAGUGGGUGGUGGUGCAUGGCCGUUCUUAGUUGGUGGAGCGAUUUGUCUGGUUAAUUCCGAUAACGAACGAGACUCUGGCCUAUUAAAUAGACGGUGUAUCUUGAAGUAUACCGCGCUUCUUAGAGGGACAAGCGGCGUCUAGCCGCAUGAAAUAGAGCUAUAACAGGUCUGUGAUGCCCUUAGAUGUCCGGGGCUGCACGCGCGCUACACUGAAAGAAUCAGCGUGCGAUUCGCCUGGUCCGGAAGGAUCGGGUAACCCGAUGAAACUCUUUCGUGCUUGGGAUAGGGAAUUGCAAUUAUUUCCCUUAAACGAGGAAUUCCCAGUAAAUUCGGGUCAUAAGCUCGAGUUGAUUACGUCCCUGCCCUUUGUACACACCGCCCGUCGCUACUACCGAUUGGAUGACUUAGUGA
This 519-nucleotide ribosomal RNA is filed under the name uncultured eukaryote. Its description in RNAcentral is "SSU rRNA". It matches the Rfam family "Eukaryotic small subunit ribosomal RNA", at positions 1161 to 1704 of the family's 1831-position model. The record is from RNAcentral.